AUAGAUCCAAGUGUUGACCAUCACCAUACAACUUAUAGUAGACCAAAUAGCAGUAACAGCCACUGCCAUCUGCUCCCCAAGUAGUGCCUUCUUAAUAUAGUCAUCAAAAUCACUCUCUAGUCCCUGAGAACCCCCCUUGGGGUACACAACGAUCUGCUUUGCCCAACCAACGAUCACCGUCUAGGUGGGGGUCCAAGCAUGAAGGGUGACACCACCACUCCCCAGCCUCUUCCGAUGGAGACUCUACCCCAGGCUAUUCUCCACUCCACUAGGAGGAGGACCUCGAGCAGAAGGUCUGAGAGAUCGAGCAUCAUUUGGGUGAAGUCCAGAUGGAUAGCCGAGAGAAAAAUGAAGCCCUCAACUUUAACUCUUGGCCACCCUUCAUCCGCUCCAUCCUUUAGGAAUUG
This 407-nucleotide long non-coding RNA is filed under the name Elaeis guineensis (African oil palm). RNAcentral's name for it is "long non-coding RNA (EGUI_LNC017232)". Lineage: Eukaryota; Viridiplantae; Streptophyta; Magnoliopsida; Arecales; Arecaceae. The record is from RNAcentral.